AACGUUAAGAAAACAUCCGUGUUAUAUAGGUUUAUUGAGAAGUUGCAACAAGACAUUCCUGGUAAAGGGGUCAAGAAACAAUUGGAGGUGCUAUGUGGUAUCUAUUACCUAUCCCUCCUUCACAAGUACCAGGGUGAUUUCAUUGCUACCAGCUGCAUAAGCCCUAAGCAGGCUUCACUUGCUAAUGAUCAGCUCAGAGCCUUAUAUUCUCAGGUUCGUCCAAAUGCUAUAGCUCUUGUUGAUGCGUUCAACUAUACCGACCACUACCUGGGAUCAAUUCUUGGCUGUUAUGAUGGAAAUGUAUAUCCAAAACUAUAUGAGGCAGCAUGGAAGGAUCCUCUAAACGAAUCAGAUAUACCUGAUGGCUAUCACGAGUAUAUCAGGCCUCUGCUUAAGCAACAGCUCCGUGCUGCUAGACUAUAGAGUAUUUUGCAUCAGAACAUGUUCAUUUUCUCAUAAUAGCUCUAGCUUUUGCUCUAUUCUCAUGUAUGAGAAAUCUUGCCAAAUAAUGGCAAAAGCAGAGAUUCUUGCCCGGAUUCGCUCCGUGCCUGUACUUGUUUUUGUUGUCAUAAUUAUCAACACUUAAUGGUCAAAGCGAGCCCUUUAUUGUGAUUGUUUA
This is a long non-coding RNA of Olea europaea var. sylvestris, 619 nucleotides long. RefSeq lists it as uncharacterized. The transcript is spliced from 2 exons. The record is from RefSeq and is a predicted model, not a curated record. Lineage: Eukaryota; Viridiplantae; Streptophyta; Magnoliopsida; Lamiales; Oleaceae.